GUACCUUCAAGCUCUGCUUGGUGUUGGGUGUUUGUCCUUGCUCUAGUGGCGGGACUCGCCUUAAAGUAAUUGGCAGCCAGUGUUUUGGUUUUGAAGCGCAGCACAAGUCGCGAUUCAAGUCUAUACGCUAGUUUCCACAAGUCUUUUAUCAC
RNAcentral lists this unclassified non-coding RNA (152 nucleotides) under Paraphoma radicina. RNAcentral describes it as "partial internal transcribed spacer 2". The record is from RNAcentral. Lineage: Eukaryota; Fungi; Ascomycota; Dothideomycetes; Pleosporales; Phaeosphaeriaceae. RNAcentral also lists the same sequence under 1 other name.